AAGAAUUCCUGAUGGUUGGUCCGUUACCAGCGUGAUAGAUUGAACUUCAAUGGAUGAGGGAAACGCAGCAGACAGGAGCGGUUUGGCCGGAGAGCCUUGCACCCGUGCCGUGCUCCGAUGACUCCCAGGACAUCCGCAGGCGCAGCGGUGCGAUGGAGGCUGCGCAGGGCAGCGCUCUCUUUAGCAAGAAGCCUGACCUGAGCGUUCAGCUCCAGAGGAUG
Molecule: long non-coding RNA, 221 nt
Organism: Nothoprocta perdicaria
Lineage: Eukaryota; Metazoa; Chordata; Aves; Tinamiformes; Tinamidae
Exons: 3
Source: RefSeq, a predicted model, not a curated record